This 441-nucleotide ribosomal RNA is filed under the name uncultured bacterium. RNAcentral describes it as "bacterial SSU rRNA". It matches the Rfam family "Bacterial small subunit ribosomal RNA", at positions 29 to 514 of the family's 1533-position model. The record is from RNAcentral.
AACGAACGCUGGCGGCAUGCCUAACACAUGCAAGUCGAACGAGACCUUCGGGUCUAGUGGCGCACGGGUGCGUAACGCGUGGGAACCUGCCUUUAGGUUCGGAAUAACUCAGAGAAAUUUGAGCUAAUACCGGAUAAUGUCUUCGGACCAAAGAUUUAUCGCCUUUAGAUGGGCCCGCGUUGGAUUAGCUAGUUGGUGGGGUAAAGGCCUACCAAGGCGACGAUCCAUAGCUGGUCUGAGAGGAUGAUCAGCCACACUGGGACUGAGACACGGCCCAGACUCCUACGGGAGGCAGCAGUGGGGAAUAUUGGACAAUGGGCGAAAGCCUGAUCCAGCAAUGCCGCGUGAGUGAUGAAGGCCUUAGGGUUGUAAAGCUCUUUUACCCGAGAUGAUAAUGACAGUAUCGGGAGAAUAAAGCUCCGGCUAACUCCGUGCCAGCAG